This 510-nucleotide ribosomal RNA is filed under the name uncultured fungus. RNAcentral's name for it is "eukaryotic LSU rRNA". The stretch from base 126 to 279 matches the Rfam family "5.8S ribosomal RNA". The record is from RNAcentral. Lineage: Eukaryota; Fungi.
UGUGACAUACCUCUGUUGCCUCGGUGGCCUAUAAGGUUCCUACCCUGUAGUUACCCUGUAGUCCGCCGACGGUCUAUACAAACUCUGUUUUUUUAAUAUCUCUGAGUCAACUAUAAAUAAGUUAAAACUUUCAACAACGGAUCUCUUGGUUCUGGCAUCGAUGAAGAACGCAGCGAAAUGCGAUAAGUAAUGUGAAUUGCAGAAUUCAGUGAAUCAUCGAAUCUUUGAACGCACAUUGCGCCCAUUAGUAUUCUAGUGGGCAUGCCUGUUCGAGCGUCAUUAAGUCCACUUAAGCCCUGCUUAGUGUUGGGAACCUACAGAAGCUACCCUGUAGCUACCCUGUAGUUCCUUAAAGACAGCGGCGGAGUUGUAGUACCCUCUGAGCUUAGUAAUUUUUUCUAGCUUUCGAGAUGCUACUGCUUCUGCCGUUAAACACCCUUCUUCUGAAUGGUUGACCUCGGAUCAGGUAGGAAUACCCGCUGAACUUAAGCAUAUCAAUAAGCGGAGGAA